This 426-nucleotide ribosomal RNA is filed under the name uncultured bacterium. RNAcentral's name for it is "partial 16S ribosomal RNA". It matches the Rfam family "Bacterial small subunit ribosomal RNA", at positions 355 to 774 of the family's 1533-position model. The record is from RNAcentral.
UGGGGAAUAUUGGACAAUGGGCGAAGCCUGAUCCAGCCAUGCCGCGUGUGUGAAGAAGGUCUUCGGAUUGUAAAGCACUUUAAGUUGGGAGGAAGGGCAUUAACCUAAUACGUUAGUGUUUUGACGUUACCGACAGAAUAAGCACCGGCUAACUCUGUGCCAGCAGCCGCGGUAAUACAGAGGGUGCAAGCGUUAAUCGGAAUUACUGGGCGUAAAGCGCGCGUAGGUGGUUUGUUAAGUUGGAUGUGAAAUCCCCGGGCUCAACCUGGGAACUGCAUUCAAAACUGACUGACUAGAGUAUGGUAGAGGGUGGUGGAAUUUCCUGUGUAGCGGUGAAAUGCGUAGAUAUAGGAAGGAACACCAGUGGCGAAGGCGACCACCUGGACUAAUACUGACACUGAGGUGCGAAAGCGUGGGGAGCAAACA